GAGGCUUUCAUCCACAGGGAAUUCUGUCCUCCUCAGAAACACAGCUGUAGAGCAAAGCCUUAUUACUGCUGCAGGAAAAAAAGAAACACAUGCUUCAGUGACUUUUGUCCUGGGGUAUAAGGCCAUACAAAUGAUCCUACAGGACAUGCUAGAAGCCAUGGAAGAGUGGUCUUAGAUGGCAGUCCUGGGAGGCUACUGUAUUCUUGCCUGGUGCCA
This 216-nucleotide long non-coding RNA is filed under the name Manacus vitellinus (golden-collared manakin). Its description in RNAcentral is "lncRNA (ENSMVIG00005005703.1)". Lineage: Eukaryota; Metazoa; Chordata; Aves; Passeriformes; Pipridae. The record is from RNAcentral.